GUGUUGCCGAAAUUGUGAUAAUACUGCUAAAUACUGUCCUUUUGCGGUCUGUCAUUUCCAAGUGUUAGCUGUAUGCAGAGUUCUGCCGAAUCAGGGACCAGAACUUGCCGAACUUCUUCUAUGCUGCGCUCGACUGUCACACCCCUCGUUUGAUGAACUUUUACCAACAGACUGCGUCCAAGACUGGAAGGAUCGCUUACGCUUUGAGUGACAUUCUGAGGUGUCAUGAUCUAGGAUAUGGGAACUACAUGAUGUUCUCCACUGUUCUCUGUGCUCGUCCUGUGUUGCUGCGUGAGGAAGUCUUAAGAGUUUUCAAAACAUGCAAGGGGGAGGAUUCCCGAGGAGCCAGAUAUUGUUGACACACCGGUAUCCCUACUUACAAUUGCCAGUGACAACACCAAAAAUGUCGUCUAAGUCCAUUAGUGUCAAGAACUCAGUUGUCCUGGAGAGUGAAGUUGUGGUGACCGACCUCCCCAGACUGGCUGACACUUAACUGGUAAUGUUCGGUCUGAUCUGUGCUCUACAUCUCAGUUAAAUUGUUACCCAGAAAGGAUUAGAUAUUGAUAUGAAAAUGGCUGCAUUGGGCCUUAAGUUGCUGCAACUUAACAAG
This is a long non-coding RNA of Oncorhynchus gorbuscha (pink salmon), 610 nucleotides long. RefSeq lists it as uncharacterized. Lineage: Eukaryota; Metazoa; Chordata; Actinopteri; Salmoniformes; Salmonidae. The record is from RefSeq and is a predicted model, not a curated record. The transcript has 3 exons.